This 253-nucleotide ribosomal RNA is filed under the name uncultured bacterium. Its description in RNAcentral is "partial 16S ribosomal RNA". It matches the Rfam family "Bacterial small subunit ribosomal RNA", at positions 524 to 776 of the family's 1533-position model. The record is from RNAcentral.
UACGUAGGGUGCAAGCGUUAUUCGGAAUUACUGGGCGUAAAGCGUGCGCAGGCGGCUGGGCAAGUCAGAUGUGAAAUCCCCGGGCUCAACCUGGGAACUGCAUUUGUGACUGCACGGCUGGAGUGCGGAAGAGGGGGAUGGAAUUCCGCGUGUAGCAGUGAAAUGCGUAGAUAUGCGGAGGAACACCGAUGGCGAAGGCAAUCCCCUGGGCCGGCACUGACGCUCAUGCACGAAAGCGUGGGGAGCAAACAGG